Molecule: transfer RNA, 75 nt
Filed under: Lachnoanaerobaculum sanguinis
Lineage: Bacteria; Bacillati; Bacillota; Clostridia; Lachnospirales; Lachnospiraceae
Description: Lachnoanaerobaculum sp. JCM 36186 tRNA-Met
Rfam family: tRNA
About the family: Transfer RNA (tRNA) molecules are approximately 80 nucleotides in length. Their secondary structure includes four short double-helical elements and three loops (D, anti-codon, and T loops). Further hydrogen bonds mediate the characteristic L-shaped molecular structure. tRNAs have two regions of fundamental functional importance: the anti-codon, which is responsible for specific mRNA codon recognition, and the 3' end, to which the tRNAs corresponding amino acid is attached (by aminoacyl-tRNA synthetases). tRNAs cope with the degeneracy of the genetic code in two manners: having more than one tRNA (with a specific anti-codon) for a particular amino acid; and 'wobble' base-pairing, i.e. permitting non-standard base-pairing at the 3rd anti-codon position.
Source: RNAcentral
GGAGCUUUAGCUCAGUUGGUUAGAGCAAUCGGCUCAUAACCGAUCGGUCCCGGGUUCGAGUCCCUGAAGCUCCAC